CCACUUUAAAAUCUUAUUCCCUAAUAAUACUAUUUUUUUUUCCUGUGAUUGCUCUUUAUCAGACCUGCAGCGGUAGGCAAGUUAGGUUGGUCAGAUACCGGGUGAUUUACAAUACGAGUCUGGAAUUCAGAAAGUCUAGUGAAAAAUCUGACAAUUGAUUCUUAGGUAAGAAAAUACAGUUUUCCUUCUUUACAAGCUAUUCCCUGUAUGGCUGAUCUCUUAUUAACGCUCUAGUCUGGUUUUGUUAGUGUAUUGUGCCAAUGAGAGAUUAUCUCUAUUAAAUAUCAUAUAAUAAUACAGAGGUGAUAAAACCGCAUCUGUUAUUUGUAGGCGUGGACUAUGUGAAUCAGUCUUCC
Molecule: non-coding RNA, 356 nt
Organism: Pelobates cultripes (western spadefoot toad)
Lineage: Eukaryota; Metazoa; Chordata; Amphibia; Anura; Pelobatidae
Source: the annotation of a GenBank genome assembly